This 823-nucleotide long non-coding RNA is filed under the name Homo sapiens (human). Its description in RNAcentral is "non-protein coding lnc-CENPJ-2:1". Lineage: Eukaryota; Metazoa; Chordata; Mammalia; Primates; Hominidae. The record is from RNAcentral.
CUCAGCUGGGCCAUUCUUCUGGACCCAGCUGGGCCCCUUUGGACAUGUGUGCUUAACUUUUGGUUGACUAGGCAUCUCUGCUUCUGGGGGUGAGUUGGCUGUCAACUGUGGCACUUUGCUUCUCAUGGUUUCUCGUCCUCCAACAGGCUAGCACAGACUUGCUCUUAUGGAAAUGGUAGAAUUCUGAAAGAAAAACAAAGCAUUCAAGAACUUUUGAGCCUAAGCCCCAAGCUGGCACACUGUUAUGUUUGCAGUCUUCUAUUGGCCACAGCAAAUAAGGCCAGCUGAGAUCCAAGGUUUGGGAAACAGAGUCUGCUUCUUAAUGAGAACAUCUGUACAAGCACACUGCAAAGGGUCUGGAUACAGGGAAGGAUGAUGAAUUGAUGCCAUUUUUGCAAUCAGUAUCACUAUGCAUUUUCUUGCAGAGCUACUAAUGUGUGGACAGAGUCUGCGGCCGUGGCAGGUGGCACACACUGGCAAUGAUGACCAGAGCCACGGUGACAGUGGCAGCCUGCUCCCUGGACUCUGCGUCCCGAAGCACGUGCCAGGCUGCAGCAGCAUCCACAGUGGACAGGGAGCCACGGGAAGCGGGCUGCCAUCAAGCCACAAUUUCACCAGCUCUGCUCUUGGGUGGAACCACUACUUCCCGCCAGAGCUUGCAGAUGAAGCAAAGAGGGGCCAUGGAGGGAUCCAGGGCUGACUGCUUGGAGCCUUGGUUUUCCUGCAUUUUACAAAUGGAGUUGUAGUCAUAAACCUGCCACCUCAUUUAAUUUCCAGUGAUGCUGUAAAACUAAACGAAAUUUUGAAAAUUGUGUAAGACCAU